This 45-nucleotide non-coding RNA is filed under the name Trichobilharzia regenti. Lineage: Eukaryota; Metazoa; Platyhelminthes; Trematoda; Strigeidida; Schistosomatidae. The record is from RNAcentral.
CACUAGCUGACGAGUCCUAAAUAGGACGAAAUGCGCAUCCUGAUG